GUACCAAAUUUGCUAGUUUACUGCCUAUAAGAGGAGCACUGAUAUUAUAAUAACCAUAAGUUAAAAAUACUUCAAAACUAGGUUAGUGCACAUCAGUUUCUUCAUUUCUCUCUCAUUCAAUGUGAGAUAAAUGCCUUUUCAUCUGAAUCGUCUUUUUGCCAUGAAACAUUUUAAUCUUUUGAACUGUUAACUUCAGUACUCUCUUGUGACAUGCUACUUUAUGUUAUAGGUGAUGUUGAGCUUGAAUGGGAAGAAACCACCAUGUAAAUAUUCAGAUCAACAAUUACAACAAGAAGAUAUUUUUCAAUCCCAGGGGCCAAAACUACCCCCUCGGGCUUCUGAAUUGAAAUAUGCAAUCCUAAAGAAAUCUUUAUGCUUCCCUUACUGCCUUACUCCCUGAAUUGACGAUUUUACAGACAGUUCUAGGAAACUGCUAAUUCAGCAUAGUCACUUGUUUUGUACAGAAUAAAUAUUGUUCAUUUAAAAUGUUUAAGACAAGAUAUCCCAUAGGGUUUUGAAGUUCUCCAUAUUUGGAACAAGCCAAAUGUUAAAUUAUUAUUAUACUAGCAUUAAUGGUUCGUGUGAAUCUUCCCUGUGUAUCAGUUAUAAUUUUGAACAAAAGCCGUAAAUGUUGAUUCAGUAGUGUUAUUUUGGCCUCUAGGGUGUUGUCGUUUCUUGUGGAUGACUUCCAGAACUGUCAUAAUGAUCUGUACUUCUAUGUAUGCCUCUGUGUUUUGAAUCCUCUGUUUUAUGAGUGCUGAGAUAUCAUCUCCUGAUCCUGAACAGCUGAACACUAACCCCCUGACACUGCAGGGAUUACAUAGCCUUUAUACAACACACAGUAGCUCUUUGGAGGAACUUAGGGCUAUUUAAAUUGCAUUGUGAACUUCAGUUUGAAAAAAUGAAAGGAAAAAAAAAGUGCAAUUGCACAUAACGAAGUUAUAAAGUACCUUUCUAGCCUGCCCACAUUUGUCUGAUGUCAGGCACAAGUUGUAGCACUGUAUUGUAUAUUUAAAUACAAAAAGGUAUCAGAGUAUUUGCACAUUAUAUUUAUAUUCAACUUAUUAACAAUUUUAAAAUGUUUCUUCAGCAGAAAUGUAUAAAAAUAAUAAUAAAAUCAUGUAGUGUGGUACAAGCUUGUGAACUUAUGAUGUACUGCUGCGGUGCCAACAGACUUCUGAAGAGAUUAUUUUAACUGGUCUUUAUUUUAUUUCCCAAGGGUGAUUAUGGAGGAGUGUGUUUAGGGGAACUGAAAACAAAGAAAUUAACCAGGUUGGAGCAAAGUAGAGAUUUUUUAAAAAAAAU
This 1305-nucleotide long non-coding RNA is filed under the name Marmota monax (woodchuck). The record is from RNAcentral. Lineage: Eukaryota; Metazoa; Chordata; Mammalia; Rodentia; Sciuridae.